GACGUAGGGCGCGAGCGUUAUCCGGAAUUAUUGGGCGUAAAGAGCUCGUAGGCGGUUUGUCGCGUCUGCUGUGAAAACUGGAGGCUCAACCUCCAGCCUGCAGUGGGUACGGGCAGACUAGAGUGCGGUAGGGGAGAUUGGAAUUCCUGGUGUAGCGGUGGAAUGCGCAGAUAUCAGGAGGAACACCGAUGGCGAAGGCAGAUCUCUGGGCCGUAACUGACGCUGAGGAGCGAAAGCGUGGGGAGCGAACAGG
This 253-nucleotide ribosomal RNA is filed under the name uncultured bacterium. Its description in RNAcentral is "partial 16S ribosomal RNA". It matches the Rfam family "Bacterial small subunit ribosomal RNA", at positions 524 to 776 of the family's 1533-position model. The record is from RNAcentral.